ACUUAUUUUUGAGUAAAUCAAAUGUUAUCAUCCGGCAUUGAAAAUUGAAAUGUUUUUAUAAAGGAGGAAUUAUUAGGAAUCUUUGGUUAGUUAUUUAAAGGUGGACAGGAGAUAAAUUUUGCACAUACUGCCCGUCAAGCAAAAAGCAGAGAUAUAGAUGAAAACAGCAGGGCACACAAGUGUGAAAUAACGUGCUAAUUUGUGUUAAGUCGAAACAUGGUUGCU
This 225-nucleotide ribosomal RNA is filed under the name Heterosigma akashiwo. RNAcentral's name for it is "partial Microsporidia small subunit ribosomal RNA". Lineage: Eukaryota; Raphidophyceae; Chattonellales; Chattonellaceae. The record is from RNAcentral.